This 356-nucleotide long non-coding RNA is filed under the name Struthio camelus australis. Its description in RNAcentral is "lncRNA (ENSSCUG00000015467.1)". Lineage: Eukaryota; Metazoa; Chordata; Aves; Struthioniformes; Struthionidae. The record is from RNAcentral.
UCAGGAUUGUUUUUUUUACAGGAAACAGAAAAAAAAAAAAGAAAAGUUCAGAAAAAGACGUUGAAGAAUGGAAAGAGCUGGAGUGACAUGGUCAAUGCAGUAAGAUAGAUCUUCCUCCUGUCUCUGAAUCCACCCUGAUCAUAUUCACACGCCAUCCAAAAACAGAUAAUUUCCAAAGUUUAGAUUCAUCUCUACAAUAAAGAGAGAAAAACAGGCAUUCUCAGAAGGGCACCCAUGCAUCCCUUCAGGCUUGAGUACACAGUAAUAGCUCUAUGCACUUCUAUGAAGAUACUCAGUGAAAAGGAACUUCUUGCAUUCAUCGUUCACCGGUCAUAGUUACCAUGGAGCAGUCCGUC